UGGGGCUGGCGGCGCCGGUGG
This 21-nucleotide unclassified non-coding RNA is filed under the name Chlamydomonas reinhardtii. Its description in RNAcentral is "small RNA Cre_3390". The record is from RNAcentral. Lineage: Eukaryota; Viridiplantae; Chlorophyta; Chlorophyceae; Chlamydomonadales; Chlamydomonadaceae.